Molecule: unclassified non-coding RNA, 169 nt
Filed under: uncultured Ascomycota
Lineage: Eukaryota; Fungi; Ascomycota
Description: sequence contains ITS1
Source: RNAcentral
AAAGAGUACGGGGGUCCGCCUCCGACGCUCCAACCCCAUGUGUACGCUCCUUGUUGCUUUGGCGGGCCGACGACGCUCGUCGUCGCCGGCGAUCCGCCGGAUGGCGCCCGCCAGAGGUUCAGUCAAAACCUGCUUAUCGGUGCAGUCUGAGCAAUCGUUCGAAACGUUA